CUACGGGGCGCUGCAGUGGGGAAUAUUGGACAAUGGGGGAAACCCUGAUCCAGCAAUGCCGCGUGUGUGAAGAAGGCCUGCGGGUUGUAAAGCACUUUCGGUUGGGAGGACUGCUUCUAGCACUAAUAUUGUUGGAAGUUGACGUUACCUUCAGAAGAAGCACCGGCAACUCCGUGCCAGCAGCCGCGGUAAUACGGAGGGUGCAAGCGUUAAUCGGAAUUACUGGGCGUAAAGCGCGCGUAGGCGGCUAGAUCAGUCGGGUGUGAAAGCCCCGGGCUUAACCUGGGAACUGCAUCCGAUACUGUCUAGCUUGAGUACAGGAGAGGAGAGUGGAAUUCCACAUGUAGCGGCGAAAUGCGUAGAUAUGUGGAGGAACACCAAUGGCGAAGGCAGCUCUCUGGCCUGAUACUGACGCUGAGGUGCGAAAGCGUGGGGAACAAACAGGAUUAGAUACCCUCGUAGUC
This 464-nucleotide ribosomal RNA is filed under the name uncultured bacterium. RNAcentral describes it as "partial 16S ribosomal RNA". It matches the Rfam family "Bacterial small subunit ribosomal RNA", at positions 339 to 795 of the family's 1533-position model. The record is from RNAcentral.